This 819-nucleotide long non-coding RNA is filed under the name Carica papaya (papaya). Its description in RNAcentral is "long non-coding RNA (CPAP_LNC001691)". The record is from RNAcentral. Lineage: Eukaryota; Viridiplantae; Streptophyta; Magnoliopsida; Brassicales; Caricaceae.
UACGAAAAGAAAAGAUGGAGACUGGAGGUAUAGUAAAUUUAAAUUUCGAGUAUAGGAUGAGGAUGAAAUGUGGAGUUGUGACUGUAAGUGUUAAAAUGUCUGACUAGCUAAGGAAAUGGAGGUAGAAAACAAUGAUAGAUGGAAUAGGAGAGCGGAAAAAGACUGGGAGUGGUGGAAAUGUUGGUUAGAGCUGUGAGUAAAGAGAAAUGGAGGAAGCUGUGGGAGGAGAGAUCAAUGAGUACAGUGAGUGAGUGAAGGUGAGUUUUGAUUACUGUUAGAGGAAGGAGUACAGUGAUUGAAAAGGUGCAAGAGAGACCGUAGGGAGGUGAGGUGAGUUGGAGUGAGUUUGGAGGAGCAAAACCCGCACGGGAGAAAGUGAGGCAAAAUGUUGAAAGAGAGAGAGAGGGAGAAGUGAAGGGCUCUGAGGGAUUGAUAAGGAUAGGGAGAAGAGUGCUGGAAGCCGAGAUAAACGAAGAGGAGGAAAGAGAGGUACUGAGAGUGGAAUGGUUAGAGGUAUAAUGAGUACGGGAGGGUAGGAGGUGAGAUGCUGAAAGAGGAAGAUAGGGAGAGGUAGAGUGCUGUGAGAGAGUGGUAUUGAUAGGAAGAAGAGAACGGGAAGCCGAGACAAACUAAGAGAAGGGAAAAGAUAGAGAAAGAGUGGAUUGGUUGGUAACAGUGAGUGUAGGCAGGUAAGGGGUGGGGUGUGAGUAUUUUGAAAAUUAGGGAGCAGUAAAUGUAGGCCUGUAGUGGUUGUGUGUGUGAGUGGUUGUUAUAGAUGUGCAUUUGUGUAAAUGUGAUGUGUGUGGGUGUGUGUUGUAU